GUAAGAAUACCGCAUUGAAAACACUGGUUUUGGUCCGAACACCGAAGUUAAGCAAUGUUAGGUGAGGUCAGUACUUGGGAACACCGGGUGCUGUAGACU
Non-coding RNA from Cordylochernes scorpioides, 99 nucleotides. Lineage: Eukaryota; Metazoa; Arthropoda; Arachnida; Pseudoscorpiones; Chernetidae. The record is from the annotation of a GenBank genome assembly.